GUUGGUGCGAAUUUAUUGACCUAUUGCAAGUACUGAACUGAGUAAGAGUCAAAGAGGAAGCAUUGCGCUGACUUGAUUCAGUUUCAUUCAAAAUGGAGUCUUGCAACUGUAUUGAGCCACAAUGGCCAGCUGAGGAACUCUUGAUGAAGUACCAAUAUAUUUCAGAUUUCUUCAUUGCUCUUGCUUAUUUCUCCAUCCCUCUAGAGCUCAUUUAUUUUGUUAAGAAAUCAGCAGUUUUUCCUUAUAGAUGGGUGCUGGUGCAGUUUGGUGCUUUUAUAGUUUUAUGUGGGGCAACACAUCUUAUUAACUUAUGGACUUUUACCAUGCAUUCACGAACUGUGGCUAUUGUAAUGACCAUAGCAAAAGUUUUGACUGCUGUAGUUUCAUGCGCAACCGCCCUUAUGCUUGUACACAUAAUUCCUGAUCUUUUGAGUGUUAAAACUAGAGAACUAAUUUUGAAAAACAAGGCUGCAGAACUUGAUAGAGAGAUGGGCCUGAUCCGUACACAGGAAGAAACAGGCCGGCAUGUUAGGAUGCUGACUCAUGAGAUCAGGAGCACACUUGAUAGACAUACCAUACUAAAGACCACACUUGUUGAACUGGGAAGGACAUUGGCAUUGGAAGAGUGUGCCUUAUGGAUGCCCACCAGGUCUGGAUUAGAGCUUCAACUUUCCUACACU
Molecule: unclassified non-coding RNA, 680 nt
Filed under: Hevea brasiliensis (rubber tree)
Lineage: Eukaryota; Viridiplantae; Streptophyta; Magnoliopsida; Malpighiales; Euphorbiaceae
Source: RNAcentral